AGUACCAGAAAAAAUUCAAGAAAUCAUUGCUGUUUAGUUCAUUUGAUCAAAACUGUAGGCAAACCGUAAGAAUCAGAUAUGACCUUCUAUAUUGAGGAAAUAGAAAAAUGAUAGGAAACUUGUGCAAGAGAUCUUUGCAUAAUCCAAGGAUUCCUUCUAAUUUUAAGGCUUAGCAUUGGGGCAAGGACAUGACGCAGAGCAACUGGAGACCAUACCUCUUGGUAUUUUGUUUACUGUGGUUAAUUAGCAAUAAAAAGCAGCUAGACUGGGAGUUGCAGGGCUCAUGAGGUAGUUAUAUCAAGCAGAAAACGAGUAGUGCAGUGGAGUUUUCAUGAUUCAACACUAGCAAAGAGGUAUUUCUUCCUUCACUAUUUAAAAUGACAGCAAUAUAGUAGAAUUCUGAAUAAAAUGAUUAUAAUAAUAAUUCACAUAACUUAUAUUUUAUCUAUUUGGGGACUUUGGUGCCUGCCUUAAUCCAUGCAUAUCUGUACUAUUCCAUAAGGUAACACACCCGUGUAUUUUCAAAAAGCUUUCCUGAAAUUCUAAAAAUGAACUUCCAGAUAUGAGUCAAGUUAAGACCUAUUUUAGUGUGAAAGUUGAUGGACUUGAGAGUCAGAAAGAAGGGUUCAAAUCUGUCUCUGCCUUUUGACUUCUCUGAGACAUUUAAUUUUUAAAUUUGUUCAGUGGGAACAAGGAUCCUUGCCUCUAGAAGUACUGCAAGGUUCAAUGAGAUAAUUAUGAAAGGACUUGCCCUUAGUAGAUUCUUUCCACCAUCUUCACCUCACUUUUUGUCUUUUUGCCAUUUCUUGGGCCACUCCCACGGCAUAUGGAGAUUCCCAGGCUAGGGGUCGAAUAGGAGCUGUAGCCACUGGCCUACGCCAGAACCACAGCAACACGGGCCACAUCUGCAACCUACACCACAGCUCACAGCAAUGCCGGAUCCUUAACCCACUGAGCAAGGCCAGGGAUCGAACCUGCAACCUCAGGGUUACUAGUCGGAUUCAUUAACCACUGAGCCACGACGGGAACUCCUCACCUCACAUUUUCUAGAGGAAUUUCAGAUAAUAUUUUAGCAAUAGUUGUUUCUAUGUUGUACGUGAACCUCUCUUGCCUAAUCAAUAAUUAUUCACUUUACAAAACAAAUGUACACUUAAGUUAUAAUCUCCCUUGGGACACUGAAUAGUUUGUUAUUCAACGAACAAGCAGGAAACAGAAAAGUCCAAAUUUCAAUUGUUCUAUUGCUAAGAGCAAACCAAUAAGAAAUCAUGAUAAAAUGUAUCCACACUGAUAAUUCAGGUCAUUGAAAACUUAUGCUGAAAUAAAUAUUCAGUUGACAUGCAGUUUUUAGGUAUGUAUAUUGACCAAAGUGAGGUGAUUCUAUGGCAGGAAUUUCAAGCAUGAUUAACUUUCAUGAGUCCUCUGAAAACUUUAUUGGGAUUUGCUAAUUGGCUAUUGUUUAAAUUAUGACACUUCUCAUCAACUAAUAAUCAGUGAACAUUCUUACACAUUCUGUUCCCUUCUAGGCUCCAGAGCAUCUGGCUCUGAGAUAUGCCAUCAUAAAAUGCCUUGAAAAAGUUUAUGAGCCUUAGUUGUAAAUUGUAAAACUUAUUUUGUAAAAGGAAGAAGUAGGUUCCAAUUUGAAUAGCCUAAUAAAAGAGGGAAUGGUGGAAAUUACCAUUCUUUUUUUUUUAUUGGUUGAAUAAAUGAAUGGAUUUGAUUAUAUAAAAGACAGGAUAAAAAUGUUCACAGAAAUAAAAUAUACAGUUCUGAACAACUUGUUCUUCAUGUACUGCUGGUUUAAAACCAAAACAAACAAAUUCUGAAAUGUCUUUUUUUUGCAGUUCUUUCCUGCUCAGACAGAACAAUUCAAUCAAAAACUAAGAGAUUCCAUGUCUUCAUUUUCUAUUAUUUUUUUUCCUUCUCUCUAAAUACUGUGGAGUAGGGAAACAAAGGUUGUAAUUUUAGAUAGAGCAACAACUAUAAGGCUGAGAACUCAUUGGCAAAUAAUUUAAACAUUAAACAUUAGAGUAUGAAGGCUAGGUUCUAUAACAAAUUUAUAAGAACUGAAAAAUGUCACUAUCAAAAAAAAUAGUAGGCCUUUUAAUGGGUAGAAGAGAGAAAAACAGGAAACUAGCAAAUAAAAGAGUCUAAACCUUAUCCUUCGUUAAAUGAGGAACUGAAUUUCUAAGAAAUCAACUCUGGCCUUGAUGUUUGGGAAACAAAUGAAAUGUUCAUUCAUGUAUUAAUUUACUCAUUCAAGAAAACCUUUGAUGUUGAAGAUAAUAUAAAAUAAAACUAUCUCAGAUUUAAGGAGUUAUAGUUCUUCCCAUAGUCAAAAAGACACGUCCUUAGUAAUAGGAGCCCUGAAUACUUAAAAUUACUAACAGGAUGGCAUGUGCUUUUAAGUUAAAAAUACCUUUUCUAACCAAGGCAGUCAUCUGUGAAAAUCGCUAAUUAGCUUUACAUACUCAUGAAUUCAAAGAGAAACUGAGAGGGUUCCUCCAGUUAACAUAUUAAGCUGAAGUGAUGUGAGAAACCUUCCCACAUCAAAUAGACUGGGAUAAAAUGUAAACGUAGACAAAAACAUUAAAUACAAAACUGGGCUUGAAAUAGAAGAAGAGGAAGAAGAAGGAGGAGGAGGAAAAGGAGGAGAAGGAGAAGAAUGAGAAGAGGAAGAAAAUCCUCAGUGUCAGAACUGAAGAGAGAAUUCAAAGUUGGAAGAGUUCAAAGGUGGUUCUUUUCAUGGAUUCUUUUUAUGCAUUUAAUCAGUGAAUGCCUUUCUGGAAUGUGUGUGUGUGUGUGUGUUUAGGAGCUAUUUUGUUGAAAUAAGAGGGAAGGUCUCAGCUUCAGUCACUGUGCAAAAGGGAACAUGGGACUGAACUUUCUUUUUAAGAGUCAUAAGUGAUCAGGUUUUACGUGGAAAAAAAGACAAGGAAAGCUUGACCUCCACUCAAGCCAGAAAGUCUGCAAGGAAGCUUGUCGACUGCAGAAAUGAAGGAUGGAAAUAUCUACUUUGAGAGAUCAGAAGCUCCAGGAGCCCUGAGCAGGGUUGAGUCUGGAUUCAUGGUAAUUGCAGAGUAUAAGGUUACCCACUGGAACACAUGAUACUGGGGUCCCAAAGCAGAGGCAAUCCUAAAACCAUACUGUAGGGAGGUUACCUUACUUUAGGCAUAUAGGACUCCCAUAUGCUGAAGGUAAACUUACAGUUAAAAUAACAGAUCUUGUAGGAACACAAACCACCAUUAGAAGAGUCAUCAGAUACAACACAUGGGGAAUUAAUACCUCUUGGACUGGAGACUGCAGGGCAUACUCAGGAGACUUUGAUGUAAAUCAAAGAGACAAAACAGAAAUGAAAAGGAUAGACUAAAUUAUUUGGGGGGAUAAGAAGAU
RNAcentral lists this long non-coding RNA (3390 nucleotides) under Sus scrofa (pig). RNAcentral's name for it is "lncRNA (ENSSSCG00000053932.1)". The record is from RNAcentral. Lineage: Eukaryota; Metazoa; Chordata; Mammalia; Artiodactyla; Suidae.